UACGGAGGGUGCAAACGUUGCUCGGAAUCAUUGGGCGUAAAGCGCACGUAGGCGGCCUGAUAAGUCGGGUGUGAAAGCCCUGGGCUCAACCCAGGAAGUGCACUCGAAACUGUCAGGCUUGAAUAUGGAAGAGGGUCGCGGAAUUCCCGGUGUAGAGGUGAAAUUCGUAGAUAUCGGGAGGAACACCAGUGGCGAAGGCGGCGACCUGGGCCAAUAUUGACGCUGAGGCACGAAGGCGUGGGGAGCAAACAGG
RNAcentral lists this ribosomal RNA (253 nucleotides) under uncultured bacterium. Its description in RNAcentral is "partial 16S ribosomal RNA". It matches the Rfam family "Bacterial small subunit ribosomal RNA", at positions 524 to 776 of the family's 1533-position model. The record is from RNAcentral.